This 73-nucleotide transfer RNA is filed under the name Candidatus Melainabacteria bacterium. Its description in RNAcentral is "tRNA-Arg". It matches the Rfam family "tRNA". Rfam says of the family: Transfer RNA (tRNA) molecules are approximately 80 nucleotides in length. Their secondary structure includes four short double-helical elements and three loops (D, anti-codon, and T loops). Lineage: Bacteria; Bacillati; Candidatus Melainabacteria. The record is from RNAcentral.
CCCUCGUAGUUCAGCUGGAUAGAACACCGCCGUCCUAAGGCGGGUGUCGGGGGUUCGAAUCCCUCCGAGGGUG